GGUGGCUCAGUGGUAGAGCACUUGCCUUGCAAGCAUGAGACCCUGGGUUCGAUUCCUCAGCACCA
Molecule: transfer RNA, 65 nt
Filed under: Dipodomys ordii (Ord's kangaroo rat)
Lineage: Eukaryota; Metazoa; Chordata; Mammalia; Rodentia; Heteromyidae
Rfam family: tRNA
About the family: Transfer RNA (tRNA) molecules are approximately 80 nucleotides in length.
Source: Rfam by way of RNAcentral